RNAcentral lists this long non-coding RNA (592 nucleotides) under Ananas comosus (pineapple). Its description in RNAcentral is "long non-coding RNA (ACOM_LNC022730)". The record is from RNAcentral. Lineage: Eukaryota; Viridiplantae; Streptophyta; Magnoliopsida; Poales; Bromeliaceae.
AAAAAUAAUUUAUAUAGAAUUAAUUUUAAUUUGAAAAAGUAAUUUUAGUUAAGAGCCGUAGAGCGUUUGGCUGAGUUUAGAUAAAAGUUAUUUUUUUCAAGUAAUUUUGUAAAGCUGUUUGUCAAAAAAAUUUGAUGUUUGCAUAUAAUAACAUUUUUUACUAAAUUUUAUUUUAAAAUAAUUUAAAAUUUGAAUUAAAAUUUAAAAUUUUGAAUUUUAAAAUUUGAGAUUUGAUAUUUAAAUUUAAAAUUUAAUAUCUAAAUUUUAAAUUUUAAAUUUUAAAAGUUGAAAUUUUAAAAAUUCAAAAAUGAAUUAAAAAAUUAAAAAUAAAAAUUAAAUUUAAAUUUAAAUUUGGAAUCAAAAAUUAAAAUAAAAAUUUUAAAUUUGAUUCCAAAAUCAGAACCAGAUUUCAAAAAGCAGACUUUUGAUUUUGGGUCUCGAAAAUCAAAGAACUGAUUCUAAAAAUCAAAAUCAAAUUAAAAAAAUGUGAUUGUCAAAUACUCUAUUAAGCCAAAAAUCACUUAAUUUUGAACUCAAAAUCACUUUUCAAAGCUAGGCCAAACACCCCAAUAACUUUUCAUAAAUAGAAAAA